Molecule: transfer RNA, 76 nt
Filed under: Bartonella sp. HY761
Lineage: Bacteria; Pseudomonadati; Pseudomonadota; Alphaproteobacteria; Hyphomicrobiales; Bartonellaceae
Also listed under: 1 other name
Description: tRNA-Thr
Rfam family: tRNA
About the family: Transfer RNA (tRNA) molecules are approximately 80 nucleotides in length. Their secondary structure includes four short double-helical elements and three loops (D, anti-codon, and T loops). Further hydrogen bonds mediate the characteristic L-shaped molecular structure. tRNAs have two regions of fundamental functional importance: the anti-codon, which is responsible for specific mRNA codon recognition, and the 3' end, to which the tRNAs corresponding amino acid is attached (by aminoacyl-tRNA synthetases). tRNAs cope with the degeneracy of the genetic code in two manners: having more than one tRNA (with a specific anti-codon) for a particular amino acid; and 'wobble' base-pairing, i.e. permitting non-standard base-pairing at the 3rd anti-codon position.
Source: RNAcentral
GCCGCAGUAGCUCAGUCGGUAGAGCACAUCAUUCGUAAUGAUGGGGUCGUAGGUUCGAUUCCUAUCUGCGGCACCA